UACAUUGGCUCCGUGAGCCAAAUAGGAACUGACCGGAAAUUGGAACGCUUUCUCCACACUCACAUACAUUUCCAAUAUCUUUCAACAUAUUCGGAAAUAUG
Caenorhabditis elegans is the source of this 101-nucleotide non-coding RNA. Lineage: Eukaryota; Metazoa; Nematoda; Chromadorea; Rhabditida; Rhabditidae. The record is from Ensembl.